This 2903-nucleotide unclassified non-coding RNA is filed under the name Homo sapiens (human). RNAcentral describes it as "MIR124-1 host gene (ENSG00000284859.2)". The record is from RNAcentral. Lineage: Eukaryota; Metazoa; Chordata; Mammalia; Primates; Hominidae.
GAAUGGGGCUGGCUGAGCACCGUGGGUCGGCGAGGGCCCGCCAAGGAAGGAGCGACCGACCGAGCCAGGCGCCCUCCGCAGACCUCCGCGCAGCGGCCGCGGGCGCGAGGGGAGGGGUCUGGAGCUCCCUCCGGCUGCCUGUCCCGCACCGGAGCCCGUGGGGUGGGGAGGUGUGCAGCCUGUGACAGACAGGGGCUUAGAGAUGCAAACAGACUCAGGGAGAGAAACAGAAGCUGAUUCUGUGACAGAAGCAGAUCUGUGCAGCACAGAUGCGGUGUGCGUGGGGAGGGGGUCGCCUGGGAGCGCAUUGCGGAGUGCUUGUGUGUGCAGAUUUUUCUCUGGGCUCAGGACUCAUUGUAUGUGGGUCAACACCUUCCUCCGUGACUGUGUUUUUGUUCUGAGCUGAGUUUUUUGGUUUGCCCUUAAAAAAAUAAUAAUUUGGCAUCCAGAGACUGGCAGACUGCCUCAGGGCCUGGACUGCGGAUAUAUUGUGUUCUGCUUGAGGUUUGGGGAGGAGGGCAGGCGGUAGGAAGGGAGAGGGGGAGCUGUUUGUCACACUUUGCUGUAGAGCUGAGAGCACCUGACAAGCUUAAGGAAGUCGUUGGGCUAUGUGGACAAGAAGGAGCCAGCUCCCAGCGGGUUCACAAGCUCUAUCGGAGUUGAAAGCGUGGUCAUGGCUCUAAGGAGCACCUCACGCCCUCCCUGUAGCUGUUAUUGCAGUUUCAGGCAGAGAUCCAGGAGCUGCAGAGGAAGGGAGAGGCACAAUAACCUACAUGGACCCAAGGGAGACAUGUGUUCCUUUAAAAAUGUGAACAGAAGGAAAAACAGAAUGUGUGCAACUGGGGGUCUGAGGAAAGACUGUUUUGAAAGAGGCUGUCAGGGAAUGGAAAGGGUUAAGCUUUUCAUCCUGAAGAACCUGCUUCCCAAAUCAGGCCUUCCUCCCAUCACUAGACCCUGAGCAGCAGCUGGUCCUAGAGACCCCCCUCGUACUGCGCUGCCACAGUCUCAUCCCAUUUCCAGCUCUGUAUUAACCACCAAGCUGCAGCGGAUGGGGCAAGACCUAAGCUCAUUAAUUUCCAGGUGGAGGAAAUGGAGGAGGGGCAGGUCCCUGCAGUAGAGGGAGGAGCAGAGAAAGGAGGCCAAGAGCUGGAUCCUUCUGCCCAGGAAGCCUGCUGCAUCCCUUCCCCCGAGCAUGGCAGAGGCCUGGCUUUGCAAGGCCAAGGCCAUAAGGGAUGCUUAGGAGAUUAAUUUGAUUCCUGACACAAUAAUCAAGCCCUAAGAGUCUCCACUGAAGCUUACUGAGGACUUCUUUCCUCUCCAAAGCCUCAGUCUAGCCUGCUAAAUAAAUUAGUAUUCAGUGAUGCCUUGGAUCAGGGCCCCUCCCCGGCCUCAGUUUCCCCAAAUAUUUAUUAAGUACCUACUGUGUGCAAUCCUUGUGUAAUUAUUACCUCUUAGGCUCUUCAUUUGCCCUCCUAAAGCAGUGUUUAGAGUCAGGCAGAGGUUAAGUGUGUUGCACCUCACCUAGAUACUUCCAGAACCUUCUCUGGGUCUGCAGAAUGUGGCACAACCUGCUUGCCCCCGCAGAGAGAAAGCUGCAGUGCACAUCCUGCAGACUGCAGGUGCUGGGCUGCCUCUGGAGUCCCAGAAGGCAAGCUUGGCUGCAGGACAGAAAGGGAGAACAGCUUCUCUCACCCCUGAGCCUUCACAAGCCCUUGUCUAUUUGCCGUUGCCUUCAAAAUAUACCUCCCCCGAAACCAGUAGCUUUCUGAGUCCUGGUGUCCCCUCCGCCCUUUCUGGACAGGUUUGGGAAGAAGAAAGCAGUCAGUGCUGGGCCUUAUUGGGGUGUGAAGCGCCUUGCUCUGCCCCUUCUGCUCACUGUGAAGGCCGCUGGAUGCUUCUCUUAGGCAUGGUUUAAGCCUCCGAUUACUAAACCCCUUGCCCCACAAACGUCCACAUUGACGAGCCUCUUUUUAGUAACUGCUUCCCCGUAAUUCCUUCAGAGGUUGCUGUACCCUUCGCUGAUGUGCUGCCCUCCUGUAAAACCUCCAGAUGCCUUCCCACGUAAUGCCCCUUUCAGAUGCUUUAAGCUGAGAGCUUAAACCACAGGUACCAUGGCUGACGCCUGCCAGGUUUCUGCUGCAGAUAAUCUAUGAUGGGAGGGGCAUAUUUUUUACUUCAUUACUUAUGUAAACUCUUGUUCCAGAAAGCUUUAAUGUGUGUGGGAGUGUUCUGGGUCUAUUAGGUCUGUGCGCAUGGGUGUGGGCAUUUGCCUGUGUCCACCGGGUGGGUCUCAUUAUGAAAUGUAUGUUUAUGUAGGGCUUUAAUGGCUGAAAAUGGCAAAGAGAUGAAUAGACCACUUGGCCCCAUGUGUAAUUGCCAGGCCCCUUCUGUGCUCAAAUGAGGUGUCCGAGUGAAGGUCAGCCCUUCCCUUCUGUAUUUGGGGCCUAUUUAUGCCACCAGUAAUUUUAUAAGAAAUCUGAAUAGUUCUCCCCUUUGAGUGCAUUUAACUCUUUAGUAUCUUCUCUCUUACCUAUUUGAGCCCCUCUAGCUACAGUCUGGCUUAAAUGAAAGGGGAAUUAUAUGCUUAAGAAAAAGUAGGACACGGUUGAGGCAGUUUGCUGACUGAAUACGCGAAGAAGGACCUGAUGGGCUCAUAUGCACCACUGCCAUCACAGUCCCCAUCGUGAUGCAAGCUUAUAUGAUUCUUGAGAAACAGCCCAGAUCUCCUCUUAAGCGGAAAAGAGAUUGACCUUCUAGCAGAGGCAAAGGGCCCACGAGUCAACAUGAGGAGUUGUGCUGGUGGUAUGUGUGUUGGAGGCUGGGCUGGCUGAUUCACAGUGACGAGGAUGUCAAUAAUAACAAGAAUGAGAAUGAUGAUACCUAAUAAAGACUUUUUUUCCCAA